GUGGGGAAUAUUGCACAAUGGGCGCAAGCCUGAUGCAGCCAUGCCGCGUGUGUGAAGAAGGCCUUCGGGUUGUAAAGCACUUUCAGCGGGGAGGAAGGCGUUAAGGUUAAUAACCUUGGCGAUUGACGUUACCCGCAGAAGAAGCACCGGCUAACUCCGUGCCAGCAGCCGCGGUAAUACGGAGGGUGCAAGCGUUAAUCGGAAUGACUGGGCGUAAAGCGCACGCAGGCGGUCUGUCAAGUCGGAUGUGAAAUCCCCGGGCUCAACCUGGGAACUGCAUUCGAAACUGGCAGGCUAGAGUCUUGUAGAGGGGGGUAGAAUUCCAGGUGUAGCGGUGAAAUGCGUAGAGAUCUGGAGGAAUACCGGUGGCGAAGGCGGCCCCCUGGACAAAGACUGACGCUCAGGUGCGAAAGCGUGGGGAGCAAACAGGAUUAGAUACCCUUGUAGUCC
RNAcentral lists this ribosomal RNA (450 nucleotides) under uncultured bacterium. RNAcentral's name for it is "partial 16S ribosomal RNA". It matches the Rfam family "Bacterial small subunit ribosomal RNA", at positions 354 to 796 of the family's 1533-position model. The record is from RNAcentral.